This is a long non-coding RNA of Manis pentadactyla (Chinese pangolin), 834 nucleotides long. RefSeq lists it as uncharacterized. The record is from RefSeq and is a predicted model, not a curated record. The transcript has 2 exons. NCBI's taxonomy places the organism in Eukaryota, Metazoa, Chordata, Mammalia, Pholidota, Manidae.
CCCAAUCUGGAGAACCUGCAGAACCAGAUAUAGGAAUAUUAACUAAAUUACCUAAUUUCCUGAUUUCCCUGUGUGUUUUGCAGAUCUUUUUAAUAAUAUUAAAGAUUCUGAAGAGAUCUGAAGGAAUGCAAGAACAACACUCUUCUUCUAAAAUGGCCUAUAUUCCACCUUCAGAACCCUGUAUGGUAUCUAGAGGAUUCUGUUCUCCACCACCACCUGAUUUCAUGAACCUCCUGGAAAGGAUCGUUGUGACCUUAGAUUCUGCUUGUUGAUCAUCGAGGUCUGGCUUGUUGUUGACCUACCAACCACUGGUGAAGGAUGCAUUUACUCAACAAUCAAGAAUAAUGUUUUACAAAUCCUACCAUUUGCAACAACAUGGAUGGAGCUGGAGGACAUUAUGCUCAGUGAAAUAAACCAGGCGGAGAAAGACAAGUGCCAGAUGACUUCCCUCAUUUGUGGAGUAUAACAACGAAGCAAAACUGAAGGAACAAAAUAGCAGCAGACUCAGAGACUCCAAGAAGGAACUAGUGGUUACCAAAGGAGAGGGGUGUGGGAGGGUGGGUGGGGAGGGAGGGAGAAGGGGAUUGAGGGGUAUUAUGUUUAGUACACAUGGUGUGGGGGGUCAUGGGGAGAACAGUGUAGCACAGAGAAGUCACAUAGUGAAUCUGUGGCAUCUUACUACACUGAUGGACAAUGACUGCAUGGGGGUAUAGGUGGGGACUUGAUAAUAUGGGUAAAUGUAGUAACCACAUUGUUUUUUCAUGUGAAACCUUCAUAAGAGUGUAUAUCAAUAAUACCUUAAUUUUUAAAAAAAGAAUAAUGUUUUAGGCUCUA